GCAUACACUGCAAAGAGCAUGCUUUCACCUUUAGGAUUGUCUGUGCUUCUUGAAGUCACCCUGGAUUAUUCUUUUGGAUAACGCAGAGUGAAGAAAGAAAAUUUUACGUGUGUUCUCCUCUCACAGCUGCUGACAGGAUUUUUGGUAUAUGGCAUAUCCUGUCUCUGCUGAAGGAUGUCCCACAUGAGAAUGACCUAGAGUCGUUACCAGUGAUAAGGUGACAGCGUGAGUGACUGACUGCGUUAUGAAAGCCAAUCUCCUCAAACGCGGGUACGGGAGAUUUGUGCUGUGGAUGCCUCUGAGGCGGUUGCUGCGAUGAAGGCGAUUCCUGGCAGAACGGUGGCAUUUUCUGUCACAAAAGAGCAAAACGGCGAGGGCGAGCAAACAGUUGUAAAAACUGUGCAGCCAAAUGGGAGCACGCCUUUUACUCAUUAUCUGCCACAUGUUCUCUGCAAGCAGAAUAUACGGCCUCUAGAGGGUGCUGUGGAGAAAGAAUUUUAAGCGGUGCAGACAGUACUCUUAACUAAACUGUGCUUGCCUUGCUACCAGUGUUGGAUCUAAAUGGAUGAAGCUUGGUUUGUACGUCUGCCUUUGCGACGGCACUACUGUGUGAAAACAAAUCUGUAAACAGAUCCUCUGCUUGCACAGUUUGACACUGUUUUGAGAUUCUCUCCAGAUGUGAACCCCGGAAGAUCCAGAAACAAAAAAAAAAG
Oreochromis aureus is the source of this 713-nucleotide long non-coding RNA. NCBI's taxonomy places the organism in Eukaryota, Metazoa, Chordata, Actinopteri, Cichliformes, Cichlidae. The record is from Ensembl.